GGAUGUGAAGGUGAUCUGGCUGCAACAUCUGUCACCCCACUGAUUGCCAGCGUUGAUGCGGCUGAUCUGGCUGCCUCGGCAGGGGUCCCCUUCCUCCUCCAUUGCUCUUAUAUGCCCCUCCUCAGCUGCAGGCUCCCUCAGAGAGGACAACCUUGCCCAAGAGAGGAGGGCUGUCCUUCAGUCAAGGGUAUAGCAGGAGCCUCGCUUCCCGCUAGAACCUCUGAACAAGCUCUCGGUCCGUAUGUAGGAGAACAUGGUCUAUUCCGGCCUCCAAGACUCAGACCCAGGGAGUGAAGCACUGCAUGUGGCCGUCUGCUUUUU
This is an unclassified non-coding RNA of Otolemur garnettii (small-eared galago), 321 nucleotides long. Its record names the gene 7SK. It matches the Rfam family "7SK RNA". From Rfam's summary of the family: 7SK was discovered as an abundant small nuclear RNA in the mid-70s but a possible function has only recently been suggested. Two independent studies have found that 7SK RNA binds the CDK9/cyclin T complex (known as elongation factor P-TEFb). P-TEFb activates transcription by phosphorylating the C-terminal domain of RNA polymerase II. NCBI's taxonomy places the organism in Eukaryota, Metazoa, Chordata, Mammalia, Primates, Galagidae. The record is from Ensembl.